Cavia porcellus (domestic guinea pig) is the source of this 1376-nucleotide long non-coding RNA. RefSeq lists it as uncharacterized. The record is from RefSeq and is a predicted model, not a curated record. Lineage: Eukaryota; Metazoa; Chordata; Mammalia; Rodentia; Caviidae. The transcript has 2 exons.
UUUUUAGUGGUUUUGAUGGUGGUGGUGGUGGUACUAGUGAUUGAACUCAAGGCUUUCAUACUGAGCUACAUGCCUAGCCCUUUCUUGUAUUUUUUAUUUUUAUUUAUUUUUAUCGGUACCGGGGAUUGAACUCACGACCUCACGCUUGCAAGGCAGGUGCUUUUGCCACUGAGCUAAAUCCCCAGCCCCUUGUAUUUUUUAUUUUAAAGCAAAGUUUUGCUAAAUCACUAAAUUGCCUGAGUUGAGCUCAAGCUUUUGACUUUCCUGCCUCAGCCUCCCAGAGCUCUGGGAUUACAGAUCUGUCCCAUUGCACCUGAUGUGAAAGAUUCUUGAAUGGCAUAUUCUACCAUCCUCUAUAGCAGAUGAUAAUACAAACACUCACCGCUGCUCUUUAGCUAUUAUAGUAAUCCCAGGGCUUUUCUACUUUGUCAUAUAAAUUGCUAUCAUCUUGUAAACGCUGGGGACAGAUAUGCUUAUUUUACCCACAGGGGAAACUGAGGUGCUUCUAGAAAGAAAAAGGCGGGGCCUGGUUGUGGUCCAGGGAUGGUGAGUGAUCUGGUAGGAGGCUGAUAGAACAGUUGAGCUGCAGCUCACCAUCUCAGCUAGGUUGAGGUGCAGACCUAGCGGUCCUGAGCCAUCAUGGGGCACAGUGCUGCAGGGCCAGGUGCCCGCGAGCCAGGUUGAGGGAACCCACAAAACCUGAGGUCCGGCAGCAGCAGCGUGAGAGCACAGGGCUCAGACAGCAACUCGUGCCUUCUUGGAGGCUGCACCUACACCAGCACCCGCGCGGGUCACGGUGUCCCCGCCCCAACUCAGGCCGCAGUGGCAGCGGCGUGGGCGGCCAGGCCCAGGGUAGCAGACGGUGCCCAGCGGUAGGUAUCCGCCCGCGCGGAAGCUGCCGCCUUCGGCCUUAAUUUAGGGCGGCAGGAUCAGCACGGAGUCUUCCUUACACUCACCGCCCUCAUGGCAGCGGUUGCCACCCGCACCUCGACCCAUAGCUCUCUGGAGGGCGAGUACAGCGGGCCCGCGACGCUGGGGUGGGCAGAGAUGGAGACCCGGGGACCGACAGCGAGGCACAGAAAAGGGAGUGCAGGACGAGAAAAAAGUUGAGAGCGAGAUUCUUCAUUCCAAGAAUACAGGAAAAUCCUGAGUCCUGAAGCACAAUGUAUUCAGGACCAUGGCCAGCAACCAGCCACACUGAGUGUGCGCAAAAUGCAAGCACCCUCUGGGACUACCCGCUUCCUUCUCAGCAGAUCCCGCAAAGUUUGGGUAUGAGCAGCUACCUGGUCCGUGUGUGGCCCUGGGCAAAGAUUUAGUGCCUUUAACCUUCAAAUACCUUCUCUAUAAAAUUGAGAUAAUAAAAAGACUUGCCUCCA